This 492-nucleotide ribosomal RNA is filed under the name uncultured bacterium. Its description in RNAcentral is "partial 16S ribosomal RNA". It matches the Rfam family "Bacterial small subunit ribosomal RNA", at positions 29 to 507 of the family's 1533-position model. The record is from RNAcentral.
AGUGAACGCUGGCGGUAGGCCUAACACAUGCAAGUCGAACGGCAGCACAGUAAGAGCUUGCUCUUACGGGUGGCGAGUGGCGGACGGGUGAGGAAUACAUCGGAAUCUACUUUUUCGUGGGGGAUAACAUAGGGAAACUUACGCUAAUACCGCAUACGACCUACGGGUGAAAGCAGGGGAUCUUCGGACCUUGCGCGAUUGAAUGAGCCGAUGUCGGAUUAGCUAGUUGGCGGGGUAAAGGCCCACCAAGGCGACGAUCCGUAGCUGGUCUGAGAGGAUGAUCAGCCACACUGGAACUGAGACACGGUCCAGACUCCUACGGGAGGCAGCAGUUGGGAAUAUUGGACAAUGGGCGCAAGCCUGAUCCAGCCAUACCGCGUGGGUGAAGAAGGCCUUCGGGUUGUAAAGCCCUUUUGUUGGGAAAGAAAAGCAGCAGGUUAAUACCCCGCUGUUCUGACGGUACCCAAAGAAUAAGCACCGGCUAACUUCGUG